AAACGCUGGCGGCGUGCUACCAUGGCGUACGAACGAGGUCCAUCCGAUCUUCGGAUUGGUGAAGACCUAGUGGCGAACGGGUGCGUAACACGUGAGAAACCUGCCCCGGUCUCUGGGAUAACAGUUGGAAACGACUGCUAAUACCGGAUGCCGUCGGACCGUCGCAUGGCGGACCGACGAAAGGGUUACCGGAUCGGGAGGGUCUCGCGGCCUAUCAGCUUGUUGGUGAGGUAACGGCUCACCAAGGCAUCGACGGGUAGCUGGUCUGAGAGGAUGAUCAGCCACACUGGGACUGAGACACGGCCCAGACUCCUACGGGAGGCAGCAGUGGGGAAUAUUGCACAAUGGGCGAAAGCCUGAUGCAGCAACGCCGCGUGCGGGAUGAAGGCCCUAGGGUUGUAAACCGCUUUCAGCAGGGAAGAAAAUGACGGUACCUGUAGAAGAAGGUGCGGCCAACUACGUGCCAGCAGCCGCGGUGACACGUAGG
Molecule: ribosomal RNA, 487 nt
Filed under: uncultured Actinomycetes bacterium
Lineage: Bacteria; Bacillati; Actinomycetota; Actinomycetes
Description: bacterial SSU rRNA
Rfam family: Bacterial small subunit ribosomal RNA
Source: RNAcentral